Molecule: ribosomal RNA, 207 nt
Filed under: uncultured bacterium
Lineage: Bacteria
Description: partial 16S ribosomal RNA
Rfam family: Bacterial small subunit ribosomal RNA
Source: RNAcentral
AGCGCAGGCGGUUUCUUAAGUCUGAUGUGAAAGCCUUCGGCUUAACCGGAGAAGAGCAUCGGAAACUGGGGGACUUGAGUGCAGAAAAGGACAGUGGAACUCCAUGUGUAGCGGUGAAAUGCGUAGAUAUAUGGAAGAACACCAGUGGCGAAGGCGGCUGUCUGGCCUGUAACUGACGCUGAGGCUCGAAAGCAUGGGUAGCGAACA